Astyanax mexicanus (Mexican tetra) is the source of this 2765-nucleotide long non-coding RNA. RefSeq lists it as uncharacterized. The transcript is spliced from 9 exons. NCBI's taxonomy places the organism in Eukaryota, Metazoa, Chordata, Actinopteri, Characiformes, Acestrorhamphidae. The record is from RefSeq and is a predicted model, not a curated record.
AAACUUGUACUGGACGUACUGAUGACUUUUGUACGAUUUAUUUUUAUGUAUUGUGAUCACGUUUCGUGUUUUGGCACAGUAUAGUUGACUAAAACUAUUAUAUAAAUAUAUAAUAUAUGUGUAUAGCUCUCGAAAGGACUAUGAGACCACUUCAAUUUUUUCUUUGAAAUUGAAAACCUCUGAAUUAUAAUCAAGAGGAAGAUGGAUGAUCACAAGCCAUCAAACCAAACUGAACUGCUUGAAUUUUUGCACCAGGAGUAAAGCAGCAUAAAGUUAUCAGAAAGCAGUGUGUAAGACUGGUGGAGGAGAACAUGAUGCCAAGAUGCAUGAAAAAAACUGUGAUUAAAAACCAGGGUUAUUCCACCAAAUAUUGAUUUCUGAACUCUUAAAACUUUAUGAGUAUAAACUUGUUUUGUUUGCUUUAUUUGAGGUCUGAAAACUCUGCAUCUUUUUUUUGUUAUUUCAGCCAUUUCUCAUUUUCUGCAAAUAAAUGCUCUAAAUGACAAUAUCUUUAUUUGGAAUUUGGGAGAAAUGUUGUCUGUAGUUUAUAGAAUUCAAUUUAUUCUGAUUCAGAAACUGACUGGUCUCUACAGGGAUGCUAACUGUGGUGUAUUAAACAGUUCCUUCUUCCUCAGCCCCUCGUUCGUGUGGCAGGUGGGCCGGCGGGCCGUACUACAGGAAGCUUGUUGAGUCUAUUGUUGGUGCUCUGCGUUUCCCCAGCACUUUAGCUAUUUCCUGUAUUACAGAGCCUGAUGGUCAUUACCCUCCACUGAACACCCUAAAUACUUGUUGCUCUCCGGAAACGAUAGUCCAACGCUGACUGAGAGGAAUAACCCAGGCCUGUGUGUGUGUGUGUGUGUGUGUGUGUGUGUGUGUGUGUGUGUGUGUGUGUGUGUCGUACAGCAGUAGGAAAGGAAAUCAUCAUUACUGAAUAGAAAGCUUUAUUAAUAAUUACGAUAUUCUGUGUGUUUGUUGGCCUAUUGGUUUCCUUCUACUGGAUAAGCUGGCUCUGCAGGAGAGGAGAUAUGUGUACUGCCCUUUGUUCCAUUUGCAUUUGGGGUGUCCAAUAUGGAAUAGAUAUAAUGUAGAAUAGAGUAAAACUACUGUCAAAGCAGUGCUGUGUAUUUGUGGUUUAGGGUUGUGAAGGUGUUGUAGUAGUGUUGUGAAGGUGUUGUAGUAGUGCUGUGAAGGUGUUGUAGUAGUGUUGUGGAGGUGUUGUAGCAGUGUUGUGAAGGUGUUGUAGCAGUGUUGUGAAGGUGUUGUAGCAGUGUUGUGAAGGUGUUGUAGUAGUGCUGUGAAGGUGUUGUAGUAGUGUUGUGGAGGUGUUGUAGCAGUGUUGUGAAGGUGUUGUAGCAGUGUUGUGAAGGUGUUGUAGCAGUGUUGUGGAGGUGUUGUAGCAGUGUUGUGGAGGUGUUGUAGCAGUGUUGUGAAGGUGUUGUAGUAGUGUUGUGGAGGUGUUGUAGCAGUGUUGUGAAGGUGUUGUAGCAGUGUUGUGAAGGUGUUGUAGUAGUGUUGUGAAGGUGUUGUAGCAGUGUUGUGAAGGUGUUGUAGUAGUGUUGUGGAGGUGUUGUAGCAGUGUUGUGAAGGUGUUGUAGCAGUGUUGUGGAGGUGUUGUAGCAGUGUUGUGAAGGUGUUGUAGUAGUGUUGUGGAGGUGUUGUAGCAGUGUUGUGAAGGUGUUGUAGUAGUGUUGUGGAGGUGUUGUAGUAGUGUUGUGGAGGUGUUGUAGUAGUGCUGUGAAGGUGUUGUAGUAGUGCUGUGAAGGUGUUGUAGUAGUGUUGUGAAGGUGUUGUAGUAGUGUUGUGGAGGUGUUGUAGCAGUGUUGUGGAGGUGUUGUAGUAGUGCUGUGAAGGUGUUGUAGCAGUGUUGUGAAGGUGUUGUAGUAGUGUUGUGGAGGUGUUGUAGUAGUGUUGUGGAGGUGUUGUAGCAGUGUUGUGAAGGUGUUGUAGCAGUGUUGUGGAGGUGUUGUAGCAGUGUUGUGAAGGUGUUGUAGUAGUGUUGUGGAGGUGUUGUAGCAGUGUUGUGAAGGUGUUGUAGCAGUGUUGUGAAGGUGUUGUAGUAGUGUUGUGGAGGUGUUGUAGCAGUGUUGUGAAGGUGUUGUAGUAGUGUUGUGGAGGUGUUGUAGUAGUGCUGUGAAGGUGUUGUAGCAGUGUUGUGAAGGUGUUGUAGUAGUGUUGUGGAGGUGUUGUAGUAGUGCUGUGAAGGUGUUGUAGUAGUGCUGUGAAGGUGUUGUAGCAGUGUUGUGAAGGUGUUGUAGUAGUGUUGUGGAGGUGUUGUAGUAGUGCUGUGAAGGUGUUGUAGUAGUGCUGUGAAGGUGUUGUAGCAGUGUUGUGAAGGUGUUGUAGUAGUGCUGUGAAGGUGUUGUAGUAGUGCUGUGAAGGUGUUGUAGUAGUGCUGUGAAGGUGUUGUGGAAGAACAGUGGUGUGUAUGUGUGAAUGAGGGUUGUAAAGGCGUAGUGGCUGUUUUUUUGCAGUGUUGUGGUGUGUAUGUAUGGAUCAGGGUUUUGGAGAUGUUGUCACGGUAUUGCGGAGAUGUUGUAGCUGUGUUGUGAAGGUGUUGUGAAGGUGUUGUGGAGGCGUUGUGGAGGAACAGUGGUGUAAAGUGGUUUUGUAGCAGUAUUAUGGAGUUUUAUGUCAUGUGCAUGUGUGGAUUAGUGUUGUUGUGGUGUUGCCACGGUAUUGUAGAGGUGUUUUAGUGGUGUUGUGGAGGAACAGUGGUGUGUAUGUGUGGAUCAGGGUUGUGGAGGUGUUGUGGCAAUGUUUUUGUG